RNAcentral lists this long non-coding RNA (1111 nucleotides) under Bos indicus x Bos taurus (hybrid cattle). Its description in RNAcentral is "lncRNA (ENSBIXG00000001197.1)". The record is from RNAcentral. Lineage: Eukaryota; Metazoa; Chordata; Mammalia; Artiodactyla; Bovidae.
GUCCCACCCCUUUCUGUGCUCUCCGAUACCGAUACCCACGCUGGGAAAGACUGGGGGCUCACGGAGAAGCUGGCGAGGAGGAGGAGAUGGUUGGAUGGCAUCCCAGACUGGUACACAGACUCAGUGUGUGCACUGUACAACCUCUGUGUGUACAGGUUGGGUGUACACACAGAGAAGUACAUUUGAGUUCUGUUUGCCUGCUUCUUGCUUUCAUCCUGUCCUCCUCUGGGAUGGAAGAACGCUAAAACUUCCUCUGCAGAGCCUGCGGCCAAGACCAGCAGGGCGGCUCCUUCUGUGCGCUCAGCCGCUCCUGGGAGGAUACGCAUUCUCCUGCAGGACAAGGCCUUGACGUCGUCCUGGUUGGUGUCCAGCUGCCUGGAAUGAAGACACGCACGCUUGAUGAACAGUCCACUGAUCCGCUUCAUCUUGUUUCUGCUGUGGGUUAUCCGUACGAGUGACAUAGUGAUGGCACACGGGGCUGCCUCCUCUCCCGAGAACUCGUAUUUAUGGUAGGAGCUUGUUGUAAUACAAGUCAUCAAACAGAUUUAAAUUUACCACAGGUUAAGCCGCGUGUCCCCUGGAACACUACAUAUAAUAGAAGCCUGAUAUAGGAUGACUGGGUUAUAACACAGCGUUCGUCCGUCUCCUGGUUUUAUUGUCGGGUCAGCGUGAAGGUGGGGUGAGCCACGGCUACUUAGUGGGAAUUAGAAAAGCCUCUUGGCGUUUCCUGUAUUUUGUGAAGCCGCUUUUGUCCUUGUCUGGGUGUGUGGCAGUGUCUUUGUUGAGUUUCCCCCUUUAGCUUUCCUCCUGUUGUCUUUACUUUAGUUUUCCUGGAGAACGUGUUUGCACUCUCAUGUUUCCCAUGCUUAUUAUGUGCCCCAUGCUGCCCUGAGCCCUUGACAUGAAUUAUGUGAGUUAUCUUUCAUAAAAACCUCAAGGGGGAGUUAUUUUUGUCCCCAUCCAGUAGCCCAGGAGCCUGAAGCUCAGACACACUUGGACACUUUCCCAGAGUCGCACGGCCGGUAGACUGCAGAGCCAGGACUCCAGCAAACAGAAGCAUCCUCUGUACUUGGCUCAUGCGGCCUUGAAUGUUGUCAGAAUCGCUGUUUAC